GGAUGAGUAUUUCUGUUGAGAGGGACAAAGGGUGCGCGGGAGCUGGGCAGUUUAAUCUCUUCAGUAGCGCAGGCGAGAACUCAGUGGCCGAGGGGCAGAACCUGAAAGGAUCCCAAGUUGGGGAAAGACUCGAAUAAUGAGAUCGUAAGAGAAGGGAAAGUUUCCCCUUCGCCCGUUCCUCCACCGACUCGAGCGGCGAAAAGAGACGGGGGCGUAAACUCCACAGAAAGCUUCGCAAGAGAAGCCACUUUAAAAGCGUAAACUGUCAAGACUUCCAACUCCUGGCCACUCUUGGAAGCAUCGCCCGUCCCUGUAAUUAUCUUGGCAACAAUAAGAAAGUGGUUUGCCAAGUUCUUAUUCUGAGAUAUUUUUCGAUGUGCCGAUCUAUUCUCCAACCUUGGACUUUCCGGUGACCUUAGCUGCUCAGAUCAAUGAUCCUGAUCCUGGACUUUGGAUAGUGAGUAUAGAUAUGGUUUCGUCCCUAACAUUAUGUCCUAACACUUUUACUGGGGUAGUACUUUUUUUUUAAUCCCGCCUUUAUUAAGGUGCUUAUCAGACCAGACCAGAGAUCAGCCAUGAUUGGUUAGAUGCUGCCACCUGCUGCAUCUAGAAUAAAUACAAAAUUGGGCCUAAAAGCAAUUAAUAAUGGCAUCUGGGGGCAGGAACUUAAAUGGCAAAAGAUGGUUUUUCAAUUAUUAUACUGAAAUUUCAAAUUAAAUGCAUGCCACUAGUAAGUAAAUAGAUUUUAUUUAUUAUCAAAGGCUGCCGUACACGAAUGAGCAAAAUAUCGUCCUGUUGUACACUUGCACAAUAAGAACUGUAAUUGCACUUUUGCUGCCAUUGCUGAACAAUUUUCAAAGCUAACCAUUCGUAAAGCAACCUAAUUUAGAGCUUCCUUAAGAGUUCACAGCUGGUAUACUGCAUCUGCUUCUAAUGGUGCAAAUACUAUGAAAUGAACUUGAAUUACUAAUAACAAAACUGAACAUGACAUCUAAAUUACAGUUCUCCUAUAUGCAGUCUACUUCUCCACAUGGACUGAUUGUUUCCCCAAGCAGACAAAACAUUCAUAAGAAAUAAUAAUUUCACCUGUGAUCAUCACAUUCAAUUGGGUAGGUCUGUUCGAUGGUGCGUGGUUUCUUUGGUGAAACUUUUUUUGUGAAACGUCAAUGGUUUAAAAGGCCUCUAAGCACAAUGGAGCUUUUUUCCUCUUCUAAGGUCUUUUUUCCUUAGACAAUAAAAUACAGCCUUCCAACUUUCCUAGCUCUCCUGGGGAUGCAAUUUUGGGACUUGUGUAUUUAUCUAGGCUUUGGGAUUGAACACUUUCCAUUUUCUUUUUUUCUAUCAUUAUUUAUUUAUAAAAUGCAUUUAAUAUAUCUCACUCUUAGGUUGUGUACUCUGUGCCAGCAAGUCUUGCACUGGUAAUAAGCCUUAAUCCAUCAGUCACAGGGUCUUGAAGAUUGAUCAAGACAAAUAAAUUCAAUGUGCAAAUUCCAUUGUGAUUUGUACAAAUAAUUCACCACAUUUUCCAGAUAACAUUGUGUGGAGGAGUAUAUCAGAUCUACAUUCAACUGCUUGUGUUGUGGGUUCUGCUGUGUUGGGAUAUUCCUUGUUGACUACUGCUCAAAGUAACAUCUUGCACGAGGAAGAAGGCAGGUAAAUAAUGAGAUCUUUUCUGCAUUAAUUCGUAUUUUCAUGAUCACCAUUGUUCUCAUUCUUAACACUUGUGAGAUCCUUAAGCUACCCUAGAUCUAAGGAAUUAGAAUGAUUUAAAGCUUUGAAAUUCCUAGAACAAAAUUUCUGAGACACAUGAUAUGUUUUGAUAUGCCAAGAGAAUUAAUAGAAAGAAAUCCUAGAAAACUUUAUCCUGCAAUCUGAGCCUUGUAAUAUUUGAUACAAAGCAUUGAACAUAGUCUGAUUUUUUUUAAUGGUGCACAUACAUAUUUUUUCAGGUUCAUCUGUAGUUGCUAUUUAAUCUACAAUAAUACAAUAGCAGAGUUGGAAGGGACCUUGGAGGUCUUCUAGUCCAACCCCCUGCCUAGGCAGGAAA
Non-coding RNA from Thamnophis sirtalis, 2047 nucleotides. Lineage: Eukaryota; Metazoa; Chordata; Lepidosauria; Squamata; Natricidae. The record is from RefSeq and is a predicted model, not a curated record.